This is a long non-coding RNA of Bubalus bubalis (water buffalo), 1951 nucleotides long. RefSeq lists it as uncharacterized. The transcript has 2 exons. NCBI's taxonomy places the organism in Eukaryota, Metazoa, Chordata, Mammalia, Artiodactyla, Bovidae. The record is from RefSeq and is a predicted model, not a curated record.
AAAAAAAUAUUUACUCUAAUAUUUAAAUAUUAGAGAGAGAUCAUCACCUCUCUCUCUACAUAUAGAGCUGUUAGAUUCAGUGUCUUUUUUGGGGGGUUGGGGGCUACUUUUAACUUCAAAGAUUAUUUAUUAAUUAUUGUGGUGGGUAAAAUCAUGCUCCUCACUCCAAAAUUCGUGUACACUCAGAUCUUACAGUGUGCACUAUUUGGAAAGAGGGUCUUUGCAGAUGUAAUUAGGAAGAAAAGGAGAGGACGCACAGAAGAAUGUCAUGCAAAGAUGGAGGCAGAGGUCAGGAUGAUGCAGCAAUAAGCUAAGGAAAGCCAAGCGUUGCUGGGAGCCACCAGAAAUGAGGAAAAAGCAAGGAGGGAUUCUUUUCUAGAGCCUUCAGAGAGAGAGUGUGGCUCAAUCAAGAGUCUGGCAACACCUUGAUUUUAAACUUUUAGUUUCCAGAACUAUGAUAGAAUAAAUUUCUUUUGUUCUUAAGUGAAACCACGGGUUAAAUCCAUUGCACUUGUAACCUGCCUUUGUUGAUCAAAGUCAUUUUGAUUGUUACCACCAAAAACUUGCCUGUCCUCCAAGAUGCUGCUUAUACAAGAUGUUUGCCUGCUUUGUUUUUCAGGAAAUUGGAGUCAGCUGUGUCUCCUUCUAGCUCAAGCCAGUUAAGACUGGUUAGGACUGCCUAUCCUUCAACUUGGCAUGCACCAGUGCCCACUAUUUGACCUUUUGAUGUCAGAGGGCCUAAAACUCUGCCCUCAGAUCUUGAGCUCGCUGCCAUUUUCUGAACUGGCAUCCUGUGAAGACUAAUGUAGCUUAUUGCACCCCUGGAAAAUGAAUUUUUGAAGGAAGAUGGCGGCACCUGGCAACCGAUGAGGAGAGAAGACACGGGGCUCCCAGGGUGUGGCUGGACUCUUUCGUGACGGCCGCAUCCCCGCACACUCUCUCUCCUAACACCUCCUGACAGGCUGGGGAGGAGGAUGCAUCUGGUAUCUAGAAAGAAGAGCCACGCGGGAGUCACCUCGUAGGUUCCUGCAUCUUCUCAGGAACGUCAGUCAGCAGUGGGUCACAUUUCAACACUUUAACUUCCUCCGGCACAUGUAUGUCACACAACUAAAUAGAAGCCUCAAGCAGCAAAUAAAACCGAAGCCAGAACCAGCAGAAUCUCCUUUCCUUGAAAAAACUUCUUUGGAUGAGGCCAAAGCCAAAAUAUGUGAGAUGAGACCUCUUGUACCCUCCAGCCUGUCUCUGUCCAGAAAGCCAAGUGAAAAAGCAUUGAUAGAACUAGAACCCACCUCAGUAAUUGAGGGCUCCAUAGCUCUGGAGAAAGAGACGAAAGAAGAGAAGCAGUGGAAACGGAUGAAGCUCCGUGCGGAUGAUUUGCCAGGAAUUCUGGCCCAGCCGUCCCGUUCCGUCCCCUCACAGCCUGGUCGUCAGCACCACCUCGGCCAGCUUCGCCCUGGCUCCAGCGCCUUUUGACUGGUCCUGCUUCCUGCUUACCUUUGUUGGAACAGGCCUGGCUUCCUGUGUUGCCAACUCCAUCAAUCAGAACACCCAAGAGGAGUUGGCUUGGUUUUAAAACAGGAAUUGAAGUUACCAGCAGGAAAACAGCUUGGCCAAGUGGAUGCAUGUGCUGGUAGUCUGCAAAGCAUGAGCCUUUUCAUUCGGGAACAUCUAGAAUCAGUGUGUUUUUACCAUGUGUUAUCAGCUGCUUGGAGAAGGGUCAAUGCAUUUCAAAUAAAGUUAAUUUUCUGUUCCGAUUUUACAUCAAAACAGAGCUACAGGAGGUUCAAGCAGCUCUACCCCGCCCCCACCCACCACGCCCUCCUGUAAACCACAAGCCGUCUCUUCCUGUUGCACCCUCCCGUGUUCCCCAGCGAAGAGAUUGAUGACGGUUUCACAAUGAACACGUUUUUAAUGACGAUUUGAAUAAAAAGCAGUAUAAGUUAAAAAAAAA